ACUUUCAAUGGAUAAUAGCUGUCCACUAAUCUUAGGAGUUAGCCCCCCU
This 49-nucleotide transfer RNA is filed under the name Paroedura masobe. RNAcentral describes it as "tRNA-Leu". The record is from RNAcentral. Lineage: Eukaryota; Metazoa; Chordata; Lepidosauria; Squamata; Gekkonidae.